GCUGUGGCUCAGUGGUAGAGUACUUGCCUAGUGUGUGUGAGGCUCUGGGUUUGAUUCUCAGCACCGCA
This 68-nucleotide transfer RNA is filed under the name Marmota monax (woodchuck). RNAcentral describes it as "tRNA.Thr". The record is from RNAcentral. Lineage: Eukaryota; Metazoa; Chordata; Mammalia; Rodentia; Sciuridae.